Molecule: ribosomal RNA, 460 nt
Filed under: uncultured bacterium
Lineage: Bacteria
Description: partial 16S ribosomal RNA
Rfam family: Bacterial small subunit ribosomal RNA
Source: RNAcentral
CCUACGUGAGGCUGCAGUGAGGAAUAUUGGUCAAUGGACGAGAGUCUGAACCAGCCAAGUCGCGUGAAGGAUGACUGCUCUAUGGGUUGUAAACUUCUUUUAUAUGGGAAUAAAAUGUUCCACGUGUGGGAUUUUGUAUGUACCAUAUGAAUAAGGAUCGGCUAACUCCGUGCCAGCAGCCGCGGUACUACGGAGGAUCCGAGCGUUAUCCGGAUUUAUUGGGGUUAAAGGGAGCGUAGGUGGAUUGUUAAGUCAGUUGUGAAAGUUUGCGGGUCAACCGUAAAAUUGCAGUUGAAACUGGCAGUCUUGAGUACAGGAGAGGUGAGCGGAAUUCGUGGUGUAGCGGUGAAAUGCUUAGAUAUCACGAAGAACUCCGAUGGCGAAGGCAGCUCACUGGACUGCAACUGACACUGAGGCUCGAAAGUGUGGGUAGCAAACAGGAUUAGAUACCCGGGUAGUC